CCGCUCCCCUCCGCUCCCGCUCCCGCCGUGCCCUGGAGAUGCUGUCGGAGCUGCGCCGCCGCCUUCCCCCCCCCCCGCCCCCCCCCCCCCAGGAAGCGACCCACGGCGCCAGAUCCGACCGACAUCGUCCCCGGGGGUGACGAAGCUUAUGGAAAAAAAGACCAAAGGCCUCGAGGGAUGUUAUUCUUGACCCCCGGGGCAAACGGAGGUGUUCACCUGGUCAGCGUCAGGAGCCAUCCUACCUGAGGCCCUGGCUCCCUCUUUCCCUUCGGUUGCCACGUGUGUGCCGGACACCUCUGGCAGGACUAACCCUGUGGCUUUUAUGUCCAACGUGCUGUGUGCCUGCAGGUAAGAAAAGCUGGGAGUGCAGUCCCUCUGCUUUGCUUGCUGUGUCUCUUGGGUAGUGAUUUUGGAGGGGAAUCCCAGAGCGAUUUGGUUUGA
Pseudopipra pipra is the source of this 441-nucleotide long non-coding RNA. RefSeq lists it as uncharacterized. Lineage: Eukaryota; Metazoa; Chordata; Aves; Passeriformes; Pipridae. The record is from RefSeq and is a predicted model, not a curated record. The transcript has 4 exons.